RNAcentral lists this ribosomal RNA (1446 nucleotides) under Salmonella enterica. RNAcentral describes it as "partial 23S ribosomal RNA". It matches the Rfam family "Bacterial large subunit ribosomal RNA", at positions 1518 to 2925 of the family's 2925-position model. Lineage: Bacteria; Pseudomonadati; Pseudomonadota; Gammaproteobacteria; Enterobacterales; Enterobacteriaceae. The record is from RNAcentral.
GUGUAGGUGUGUGUUCCAGGUAAAUCCGGUUCACUUUAACACUGAGGCGUGACGACGAGGCACUACGGUGCUGAAGCAACAAAUGCCCUGCUUCCAGGAAAAGCCUCUAAGCAUCAGGUAACAUCAAAUCGUACCCCAAACCGACACAGGUGGUCAGGUAGAGAAUACCAAGGCGCUUGAGAGAACUCGGGUGAAGGAACUAGGCAAAAUGGUGCCGUAACUUCGGGAGAAGGCACGCUGACACGUAGGUGAAGUGAUUUACUCAUGGAGCUGAAGUCAGUCGAAGAUACCAGCUGGCUGCAACUGUUUAUUAAAAACACAGCACUGUGCAAACACGAAAGUGGACGUAUACGGUGUGACGCCUGCCCGGUGCCGGAAGGUUAAUUGAUGGGGUCAGCGCAAGCGAAGCUCCUGAUCGAAGCCCCGGUAAACGGCGGCCGUAACUAUAACGGUCCUAAGGUAGCGAAAUUCCUUGUCGGGUAAGUUCCGACCUGCACGAAUGGCGUAAUGAUGGCCAGGCUGUCUCCACCCGAGACUCAGUGAAAUUGAACUCGCUGUGAAGAUGCAGUGUACCCGCGGCAAGACGGAAAGACCCCGUGAACCUUUACUAUAGCUUGACACUGAACAUUGAGCCUUGAUGUGUAGGAUAGGUGGGAGGCUUUGAAGUGUGGACGCCAGUCUGCAUGGAGCCGACCUUGAAAUACCACCCUUUAAUGUUUGAUGUUCUAACGUGGACCCGUUACCCGGGUUGCGGACAGUGUCUGGUGGGUAGUUUGACUGGGGCGGUCUCCUCCUAAAGAGUAACGGAGGAGCACGAAGGUUGGCUAAUCCUGGUCGGACAUCAGGAGGUUAGUGCAAUGGCAUAAGCCAGCUUGACUGCGAGCGUGACGGCGCGAGCAGGUGCGAAAGCAGGUCAUAGUGAUCCGGUGGUUCUGAAUGGAAGGGCCAUCGCUCAACGGAUAAAAGGUACUCCGGGGAUAACAGGCUGAUACCGCCCAAGAGUUCAUAUCGACGGCGGUGUUUGGCACCUCGAUGUCGGCUCAUCACAUCCUGGGGCUGAAGUAGGUCCCAAGGGUAUGGCUGUUCGCCAUUUAAAGUGGUACGCGAGCUGGGUUUAGAACGUCGUGAGACAGUUCGGUCCCUAUCUGCCGUGGGCGCUGGAGAACUGAGGGGGGCUGCUCCUAGUACGAGAGGACCGGAGUGGACGCAUCACUGGUGUUCGGGUUGUCAUGCCAAUGGCACUGCCCGGUAGCUAAAUGCGGAAGAGAUAAGUGCUGAAAGCAUCUAAGCACGAAACUUGCCCCGAGAUGAGUUCUCCCUGAGACUUAAAGUCUCCUGAAGGAACGUUGAAGACGACGACGUUGAUAGGCCGGGUGUGUAAGCGCAGCGAUGCGUUGAGCUAACCGGUACUAAUGAACCGUGAGGCUUAACCUUACAACGCCGAAG